GGGGCAUGUGAGGGCUGUCGCUGACUCAAUGUCGUGCACGCCCGAGCGUGUCCUCUCACAUAAUAAUCCAUCUCACCCUUUGUGCAUCGCCGCGUGGGCACCCUUUGGGAUCAUCUCGGAGGGGGCUCGCGUUUUCACACAAACCCCCCCCUUUUAAAAGUGUAGAAUGACCUCAUUUAUGCGCUAACCCGCAAUCAAUACAACUUUCAACAACGGAUCUCUUGGCUCUCGCAUCGAUGAAGAACGCAGCGAAAUGCGAUACGUAAUGUGAAUUGCAGAAUUCAGUGAAUCAUCGAAUCUUUGAACGCACCUUGCGCCCCUUGGUAUUCCGAGGGGCACACCCGUUUGAGUGUCGUGAAAACCUCAACCUCCUUGGUUUCUUCUGGAGACCAAAGCAGGCUUGGACUUUGGAGGCCUUUGCUGGCACCUCUCUCUUUUGAAGGUCAGCUCCUCUUAAAUGAAUUAGCAGGGUCCUCUUUGCUGAUCCUCGACGUGUGAUAAGAUGUUUCCAUGUCUUGGUUUCUGGCUCUGUCACUCUUGGGACCCGCUUCUAACCGUCUUGACCUUGCGUCGAGACAAUGUUSGAGCACGUCUCCCAUCUSGGGAAGCUCCCUSGACC
Molecule: ribosomal RNA, 619 nt
Filed under: uncultured Lactarius
Lineage: Eukaryota; Fungi; Basidiomycota; Agaricomycetes; Russulales; Russulaceae
Description: eukaryotic LSU rRNA
Rfam family: 5.8S ribosomal RNA (bases 202-355)
Source: RNAcentral